AUCACCUGGGGAUCUUGUUAAAAGGCAGAUUCUGAUUCAGUAGGUCUGAGAUAGAGCCCAAGAUUCUGCAUUUCCAACAAGCUCUCAGGUGAUGCCCA
This 98-nucleotide microRNA precursor is filed under the name Pteropus alecto (black flying fox). RNAcentral describes it as "mir-544 microRNA precursor family". It matches the Rfam family "mir-544 microRNA precursor family". The record is from Rfam by way of RNAcentral. Lineage: Eukaryota; Metazoa; Chordata; Mammalia; Chiroptera; Pteropodidae.